GGCGCGGGAUUUGGCCGCCGCGGGGCUCCGGAGCCGCUCGCUCCCGACACGGCUCACGAUGCGCGGCGAGCAGGGCGCGGCGGGGGCCCGGGUGCUCCAGUUCACUAACUGCCGGAUCCUGCGCGGAGGGAAACUGCUCAGGGAGGAUCUGUGGGUGCGCGGAGGCCGCAUCUUGGACCCAGAGAAGCUGUUCUUUGAGGAGCGGCGCGUGGCCGACGAGCGGCGGGACUGCGGGGGCCGCAUCUUGGCUCCCGGAUUCAUCGAUGUGCAGAUCAACGGUGCGGCCCGGGGCCGGCAGGGGAACCCAGGGGAGGAGCUCUGAGCUCCAUGCGACACUUCCUUUUCUGUGGCUGCAGGUGGAUUUGGUGUUGACUUCUCUCAAGCCACGGAGGACGUGGGUUCGGGGGUUGCCCUGGUGGCCCGGAGGAUCCUGUCGCACGGCGUCACCUCCUUCUGCCCCACCCUGGUCACUUCCCCACCGGAGGUUUAUCACAAGGUUGUUCCUCAGAUCCCUGUGAAGAGUGGUGGUCCCCAUGGGGCAGGGGUCCUCGGGCUGCACCUGGAGGGCCCCUUCAUCAGCCGGGAGAAGCGGGGCGCGCACCCCGAGGCCCACCUCCGCUCCUUCGAGGCCGAUGCCUUCCAGGACUUGCUGGCCACCUACGGGCCCCUGGACAAUGUCCGCAUCGUGACGCUGGCCCCGGAGUUGGGCCGUAGCCACGAAGUGAUCCGGGCGCUGACGGCCCGUGGCAUCUGCGUGUCCCUAGGUGAGGGGCCGGCUCGGGGUGGGCCUGC
This 792-nucleotide small RNA is filed under the name Pan troglodytes (chimpanzee). RNAcentral describes it as "retained intron". Lineage: Eukaryota; Metazoa; Chordata; Mammalia; Primates; Hominidae. The record is from RNAcentral.